RNAcentral lists this ribosomal RNA (874 nucleotides) under Theba subdentata subdentata. RNAcentral describes it as "eukaryotic LSU rRNA". The record is from RNAcentral. Lineage: Eukaryota; Metazoa; Mollusca; Gastropoda; Stylommatophora; Helicidae.
UUGCAGAACACAUUGAACAUCGACAUCUUGAACGCAAAUGGCGGCCUCGGGUCCAUCCCGAGGCCACGCCCGUCUGAGGGUCGGCGAAUCAGACAAGCUAUCGCCUCUUUUAUUUGGAGCAGGCUUCCUCACAGAAGGCGUCCGCUUCUCUCGAACAUUUCUUGCUCUAGAAUGACGACGAGACGGUCGCUGGAAAGUGGAGGCCGUAGAGGCGCUUUGGGUUUUCGCGGAUCUCAUGUGAUCCUCGUGACUUCAAGUGUAUGCUGCGCCGUCUGUCAUCUCGUGACGUCUUGGUGCCCGGAACAGCUCUGACUAUUUUGUUUUCCGUGCACUGACGACAUAGGCGAGAGAAUGUUUAUGUCUCKCUUAACCGACGCCGCCGGCCGUCGUGCUGGACUCGGAUUGAUCGGAUAUCAUCGAGCCGCCGGCGCGCUGGAAGCUGCGGGACAGUGAGAAUAAGCUUGUGUCGGCGCCCAGUUAAAACAAAGCAGCUACGCGUGCACUCGCAUGCGCAGCUUGCUUUUGUUUCACAUAUCCGACCUCAGAUCGGACGAGAUUACCCGCUGAAUUUAAGCAUAUUACUAAGCGGAGGAAAAGAAACUAACAAGGAUUCCCUCAGUAACGGCGAGUGAAGCGGGAAUAGCCCAGCACCGAAUCCCUCAGUGUCAUGCUGACGGGAACUGUGGUGUGUGGGACGCCACCAGUCGCAUCAGAGAGCGCCGAAGUCCUCCUGAUCGGGGCUUCACCCAGAGCGGGUGUAAGGCCUUUGCGGGUGCUUCUCUGUGCGGCCGCGAGCGUCUCAGGAGUCGGGUUGUUUGGGAAUGCAGCCCAAAGCGGGUGGUAAACUCCAUCUAAGGCUAAAUACUGGCACGAG